Non-coding RNA from Pelobates cultripes (western spadefoot toad), 239 nucleotides. Lineage: Eukaryota; Metazoa; Chordata; Amphibia; Anura; Pelobatidae. The record is from the annotation of a GenBank genome assembly.
CUUCCCUGUCAUUUCUAUAUAUAGAGUACCCUGGUAUUGCUAUGUCCCAGAUAUUUUUCUCAUUAUACCAUGUCUCAUUAACAGUGACUAAAUCUACAUUAUCAGUUGCCAUUAUUGCCACAAGUUCAUGGAUCUAAUUCCCUAAACUGCUAUCAUUGUAGACAUGACUAAGCUUAUAAUUUUUUUUAACACACUUGCUACAGGUACCUUCUGUCCUUGUUUUAGGGGGCAAUUGGAUU